UAGGGAAUCUUCGGCAAUGGACGAAAGUCUGACCGAGCAACGCCGCGUGAGUGAAGAAGGUUUUCGGAUCGUAAAACUCUGUUGUUAGAGAAGAACAAGGACGUUAGUAACUGAACGUCCCCUGACGGUAUCUAACCAGAAAGCCACGGCUAACUACGUGCCAGCAGCCGCGGUAAUACGUAGGUGGCAAGCGUUGUCCGGAUUUAUUGGGCGUAAAGCGAGCGCAGGCGGUUUCUUAAGUCUGAUGUGAAAGCCCCCGGCUCAACCGGGGAGGGUCAUUGGAAACUGGGUGACUUGAGUGCAGAAGAGGAGGGUGGAAUUCCAUGUGUAGCGGUGAAAUGCGUAGAUAUAUGGAGGAACACCAGUGGCGAAGGCGGCUCUCUGGUCUGUAACUGACGCUGAGGCUCGAAAGCGUGGGGAGCAAACAGG
This 429-nucleotide ribosomal RNA is filed under the name Gemmatimonadota bacterium. RNAcentral describes it as "Gemmatimonadetes bacterium partial 16S ribosomal RNA". It matches the Rfam family "Bacterial small subunit ribosomal RNA", at positions 355 to 776 of the family's 1533-position model. Lineage: Bacteria; Pseudomonadati; Gemmatimonadota. The record is from RNAcentral.